Lytechinus variegatus (green sea urchin) is the source of this 156-nucleotide long non-coding RNA. RefSeq lists it as uncharacterized. The transcript is spliced from 2 exons. The record is from RefSeq and is a predicted model, not a curated record. NCBI's taxonomy places the organism in Eukaryota, Metazoa, Echinodermata, Echinoidea, Temnopleuroida, Toxopneustidae.
GAACUUCAAAGCCAGGGCUUGCCAGUCUCCUACAAUAAGAAAAAUGCCAUGGGCCAAUCUAAUGAACUAGUAGUAGAAUAUUUGGCCACAGUUGUAGAAAUGCAGAGACUAACAUACUGCCACAGGUGAGGUUUUGUCCACAGUUCCAGAAGGACA